UACGUAGGUGGCAAGCGUUAUCCGGAAUCAUUGGGUUUAAAGGGUCCGUAGGCGGUUUUGUAAGUCAGUGGUGAAAGCCCAUCGCUCAACGGUGGAACGGCCAUUGAUACUGCAAGACUUGAAUUAUUGGGAAGUAACUAGAAUAUGUAGUGUAGCGGUGAAAUGCUUAGAGAUUACAUGGAAUACCAAUUGCGAAGGCAGGUUACUACUAAUGGAUUGACGCUGAUGGACGAAAGCGUGGGUAGCGAACAGG
RNAcentral lists this ribosomal RNA (253 nucleotides) under uncultured bacterium. RNAcentral's name for it is "partial 16S ribosomal RNA". It matches the Rfam family "Bacterial small subunit ribosomal RNA", at positions 524 to 776 of the family's 1533-position model. The record is from RNAcentral.